UACGGGGGGGGCAAGCGUUGUUCGGAAUUACUGGGCGUAAAGGGCUCGUAGGCGGCCAACUAAGUCGGAUGUGAAAUCCCCAGGCUCAACCUGGGAACUGCAUCCGAUACUGGAUGGCUUGAAUUCGGGAGAGGGAUGCAGAAUUCCAGGUGUAGCGGUGAAAUGCGUAGAUAUCUGGAGGAAUAUCGGUGGCGAAGGCGGCAUCCUGGACCGACAUUGACGCUGAGGAGCGAAAGCCAGGGGAGCAAACGGG
Molecule: ribosomal RNA, 253 nt
Filed under: uncultured bacterium
Lineage: Bacteria
Description: partial 16S ribosomal RNA
Rfam family: Bacterial small subunit ribosomal RNA
Source: RNAcentral